This is a non-coding RNA of Doryrhamphus excisus (bluestripe pipefish), 1049 nucleotides long. NCBI's taxonomy places the organism in Eukaryota, Metazoa, Chordata, Actinopteri, Syngnathiformes, Syngnathidae. The record is from RefSeq and is a predicted model, not a curated record.
GCGCGGCAAUCUAGACAGGAAGAAGGCCAAAGCAACGAAGAAUGAACCGCCACGUUCGGUUUAAAAAAUAGUUUUUUGACGAUAUUAAGAUAUGAUAUUACUUUGAUAUUAAUACGGAUAGUGUAGUAAAACCACAGCACACCUGUCAACCCACGUGUUCACUUUCAGACGGACAGCUGGGAUAGGCUCCAGCAUACCAGCGACCCCAGUGAGGAUAAGAGUCAUCCAGAAAUGGAGGGUAUUUCACAGCGUUAACGCCAAGCCAGAACCACCGCUCUUGUCAUUGAGCUGAUUGACCACUAGAGGGCAGCAUCCCAACAUGACGCGGCCUGUUCAAGCCCGGGAUGAACUUGAGGAAGCGCCUUCGGAAGUUCCUGUGCUUCCUCUGCAACGCGCCCAAGCCUGACGACUUGUCGGCGGCGAUGGCGGGCGGCGUCGGCGAGGCCCCGCGCACGUAACUGCGAGUGCUGGCGCUGCGGGUCAGAUGCGUCUUGGCCGACAUGAAGAGCUCGCUGGCGGGCCGCACGCGCUGCUUCCUGGCGGGCGGCGCCGGCGGUUUGCGCCCGCCGUCAGAGUCGCCCCCCGCUUGGUACGAGCACGUCUGGUAGAGUGGGUCGUCGUCCGUGGCGGCGCUGAGGACGCUGGCGCUGCUGCCGGUGCUGCUGGUGCGAAGCGGCGACCGGAGAGAGGCGGGGCUGGGGACGCCCAGGCUGCCGUACACGCCCGCCGACUCCAGGGACUCGUACACGGUGCCGUCGCACAUCACGAUGCCUGCCGCACACAAAACACGCAAAAUUGGUUUUGAUGUUUGAAAAAAAUGGCUAAAUUUAAACAUAGAAAAAUUAAGAAAUUUUAAAGAAGUUUUUCAAACAACAUUACAAAAUUGAAAUAGUCUUGAAUGUUUAAAAAAGUACAAAAAGUAAAAAAAAAAAUUGUAUUCAAUUUUUAAAAAAGUUUUCAGAAAAGAAAUAUAAUUAUAAUUGAUAUUUUUAAAAACACAUUUUUCCAAAACAGUUUUUUAAAAUGAGGAACUUGAUUUAAAAAAAAUU